AUGGGAGAGAUAUGGGAAAAGAACGGGAGAAACACGGGAGAGAGACGGGAAAAAUACCGGAAAAAUACGGGGAAAAUAUGGGAGAAAUACGGGAGAGAUACGGGAGAGAUACGGGAGAGAGACGGGAGAGAUANNNNNNNNNNGGGAAAAUAUGGGAGAGAUACGGGAGAGAUACGGGAGAGAUACGGGAAAAUGCAUGAGAAAUACGAGAAAAUAAGGGAGAAAUACGGGAAAAAUAUGGGAAAAAUACGGGAAAAAUACGGGAGAAAUAUGGGAAAAUACAGGAGAAAUACGGGAAAAAUACGGAAAAAAUAUGGGAGAAAUACGGGAAAAUACAGGAGAAAUACGGGAAAAAUAUGGGAGAAAUACGGGAAAAUACGGGAAAAAUACCAGAAAAAUACAGGAAAAAUAUGGGAGAAAUACGGGAGAAAUACGGGAAAAUAUGGGAGAGUCCGGGAGAAAUACAGGAAAAUACGGGAAAAUAUGGGAGAAAUACGGGAAAAUAUGGGAGAAACAUGGGAGAAACACGGGAGAGUCCGGGAGAAAUAUGGGAAAAUCCAGGAGAAAUCCGGGAGAAAUCCGGGAGAAACACGGGAAAGAUACGGGAGAGAUAUGGGAGAGAUACAGGAAAAGUCUGGGAGAAUCCAGGAAAAUCCAAGAAAAGUCCGGGAAAAGUCCGGGAAGAAUCUGGGAAGAGUCCGGGAGAAAUCUGGGAGAAAUCCGAGAAAAGUCCAGGAAAAGUCCGGGAGAAAUCCCAGAAAAGUCCAGGAGAAGUCUGGGAAAAGUUCGGGAAAAGUCCGGGGAAAGUGCAGGAGAAAUCUGGGAAAAGCCUGGGAGAAAUAUGGGAGAAAUAUGGGAAAAGUCUGGGAGAAUCCAGGAAAAGUCCGGGAGAAAUCCAGGAGAAAUCCGGGAAAAGUCCAGGGAAAAUUCAGGAGAAAUCCGGGAGAAAUCCGGGAAAAGUCCGGGAAAAAUCCACUAAAAGUCCAGGAGAAAUCCGGGAAAAUCUGGGAAAAAUCUGGGAAAAGUCCAGGAGAAAUCCAGGAAAAAUCCGGGAAAAAUCAGGGAAUUUAUCGGGGUCAGAGCGGGGACGGAGAAGUGGCUGAAAUUCCCACCCAAACGGGGAUAAAUUGA
RNAcentral lists this long non-coding RNA (1131 nucleotides) under Chloebia gouldiae (Gouldian finch). RNAcentral describes it as "Erythrura gouldiae (Gouldian finch) lncRNA (ENSEGOG00005016223.1)". Lineage: Eukaryota; Metazoa; Chordata; Aves; Passeriformes; Passeridae. The record is from RNAcentral.